UAUUGGUGAGAACUCGCAGUAUGCUCGGCAAUGUGCAAAGAAACGAGCCACCGCGAUAGUUUACAAGCACUGCCGCUGGGAGUUCACAAGCACUACCGCUGGGAGUCCAUCAUUGCCGGUCUUCUGCUCUGAACCUCCCUGACUUGAACUGGAUGUAGAGCACCAAAAGGGUUCACUGGGCAUCCCCUGGAAGCUUGUUGUGCGCGGACAGGAAGUCCACCAGCACAUACCCUAGCAGUCCUGUGCGCGCGGCCGGGGAUUAAAACAGCAACUUGCUGAAGUGCUACUGUGUCACCGUGGCUCAAAUGGUUGCAUCAUUCAUCUUGUCACCGUAGCUCCAUGAUCGCAUGCCUUUGAGAAGUUUUGUAGCAUUUUUCCUCCGUGAAGUGUUACUGUGUCUGACUUUCACUUUUGACUUUUGCCUUUAACUCUGAUUACUUGUAAUAAUUUGGGGAAAUGAAUAACAUGUACUUGUGUUGAUGUGUAAUAGAAAAAAAUAAGAAGUUCAUUUUUAUUUA
Long non-coding RNA from Lolium perenne, 518 nucleotides. RefSeq lists it as uncharacterized. NCBI's taxonomy places the organism in Eukaryota, Viridiplantae, Streptophyta, Magnoliopsida, Poales, Poaceae. The record is from RefSeq and is a predicted model, not a curated record.